GGGCCUAUAGCUCAGUUGGUAGAGCGCGUCGUUCGCAAUGACGAGGUCAGCGGUUCGAAUCCGCUUAGGUCCACCA
RNAcentral lists this transfer RNA (76 nucleotides) under Pseudomonadaceae bacterium. RNAcentral's name for it is "tRNA-Ala". It matches the Rfam family "tRNA". From Rfam's summary of the family: Transfer RNA (tRNA) molecules are approximately 80 nucleotides in length. Their secondary structure includes four short double-helical elements and three loops (D, anti-codon, and T loops). Further hydrogen bonds mediate the characteristic L-shaped molecular structure. tRNAs have two regions of fundamental functional importance: the anti-codon, which is responsible for specific mRNA codon recognition, and the 3' end, to which the tRNAs corresponding amino acid is attached (by aminoacyl-tRNA synthetases). tRNAs cope with the degeneracy of the genetic code in two manners: having more than one tRNA (with a specific anti-codon) for a particular amino acid; and 'wobble' base-pairing, i.e. permitting non-standard base-pairing at the 3rd anti-codon position. Lineage: Bacteria; Pseudomonadati; Pseudomonadota; Gammaproteobacteria; Pseudomonadales; Pseudomonadaceae. The record is from RNAcentral.